RNAcentral lists this ribosomal RNA (163 nucleotides) under uncultured bacterium. RNAcentral describes it as "partial 16S ribosomal RNA". It matches the Rfam family "Bacterial small subunit ribosomal RNA", at positions 355 to 511 of the family's 1533-position model. The record is from RNAcentral.
UAGGGAAUCUUCCACAAUGGACGAAAGUCUGAUGGAGCAACGCCGCGUGAGUGAAGAAGGGUUUCGGCUCGUAAAACUCUGUUGUUAAAGAAGAACAUAUCUGAGAGUAACUGUUCAGGUAUUGACGGUAUUAACCAGAAAGCCACGGCUAACUACGUGCCAG